RNAcentral lists this ribosomal RNA (211 nucleotides) under uncultured bacterium. RNAcentral's name for it is "partial 16S ribosomal RNA". It matches the Rfam family "Bacterial small subunit ribosomal RNA", at positions 524 to 734 of the family's 1533-position model. The record is from RNAcentral.
UACGUAGGGGGCAAGCGUUGUCCGGAAUCAUUGGGCGUAAAGAGCGUGUAGGCGGCUCGGUAAGUCCGCUCAUGAAGCCCAGGGCUCAACCCUGGAAUAGCCUUUAAUACUGGAUAUCUUGAGUUCGGGAGAGGUGAGUGGAACUCCGAGUGUAGAGGUGAAAUUCGUAGAUAUUCGGAAGAACACCAGUGGCGAAGGCGACUCACUGGCC